UCGCUUUCACAGCUUCACCAGAGGGUCUCU
This 30-nucleotide non-coding RNA is filed under the name Rattus norvegicus (Norway rat). Lineage: Eukaryota; Metazoa; Chordata; Mammalia; Rodentia; Muridae. The record is from RNAcentral.